Non-coding RNA from Pelobates cultripes (western spadefoot toad), 290 nucleotides. The record is from the annotation of a GenBank genome assembly. Lineage: Eukaryota; Metazoa; Chordata; Amphibia; Anura; Pelobatidae.
CCUUUAUUCACAUUACCGAUCGGGUCUCAGAUGAACUCCUGUUCCAACAUUCUGAGAGACCAACACAUAGUGUACAUUCCUUAUAUAGCACUAUAACUCCUCCCAUUAAUAGCUACACCCACAUAUACCUUUAACCAAUCAAUGAGCAGAAUAUAGACUUGUACAUCUAGUCAAACCACAUGGCUCAUCCAAGACAAAGGAAAUAAGUGCAAUUUCAGUUCCUGCAUUCCUGCACAUGCUCAGUACACUGAUGACAGUAUCCUAGCUACAUGUAGCUAACCAACUGACAC